GCCUCUAUGGUCUAGUGGUACGAUACCCCCUUCGGGUUAUACCCGCCUCAUUGAGGUGCAAAUGGGGGUGGUCCCGUGUUCGACUCACGGUGGAGGCC
Tulasnella sp. 403 is the source of this 98-nucleotide non-coding RNA. The record is from the annotation of a GenBank genome assembly. NCBI's taxonomy places the organism in Eukaryota, Fungi, Basidiomycota, Agaricomycetes, Cantharellales, Tulasnellaceae.